CCAGACUCCUACGGGAGGCAGCAGUGGGGAAUAUUGCACAAUGGGGGAAACCCUGAUGCAGCGACGCCGCGUGAGCGAUGAAGUAUUUCGGUAUGUAAAGCUCUAUCAGCAGGGAAGAAAAUGACGGUACCUGACUAAGAAGCCCCGGCUAACUACGUGCCAGCAGCCGCGGUAAUACGUAGAGGGCAAGCGUUAUCCGGAUUUACUGGGUGUAAAGGGAGCGUAGACGGCGGUGCAAGCCAGAUGUGAAAGCCCGAGGCUCAACCCCGGGACUGCUCUUGGAACUGCGCGGCUGGAGUGCAGGAGGGGCAGGCGGAAUUCCUAGUGUAGCGGUGAAAUGCGUAGAUAUCAGGAGGAACACCGGUGGCGAAGGCGGCCUGCUGGACUGCGACUGACGUUGAGGCCCGAAAGCGUGGGGAGCAAACAGGAUUAGAUACCCGUGUA
Molecule: ribosomal RNA, 444 nt
Filed under: uncultured bacterium
Lineage: Bacteria
Description: partial 16S ribosomal RNA
Rfam family: Bacterial small subunit ribosomal RNA
Source: RNAcentral